Molecule: RNA transcript, 10938 nt
Organism: Physeter macrocephalus (sperm whale)
Lineage: Eukaryota; Metazoa; Chordata; Mammalia; Artiodactyla; Physeteridae
Gene: PLCE1
Gene name: phospholipase C epsilon 1
Exons: 34
Source: RefSeq, a predicted model, not a curated record
GGGCGGCGCGCCCCGGGCUCUGCCUCCCGGGCACUUGCCCGGCUCUGCGCGCUUCUGUCGUCCGCUCCGCCGCUGACACACGGUAGCGAGGACACCCGACGCCGCUAGCGACAGGCGCGUCCCAGAGGGACGCUGCACUUGGGGACUCCGGCGCGACCGGCCAGAAGAGGAAAGGAUACAUUCGAACUGGAUUUUUAAUCAUUGUAAGCCAGUGAUGAAUCAGAGGUUACAGAAUGCAAUGUCGAAUAAAAGUCUUCGAAAGAAUUGCUUCAAAUGACCAAAGAAAGAAAAUUGAUCUACCACCUUAAAACCUUGAUCUAGAAGAGCAUACUGCACAUGGUAGGAAGUGAUAACUGGGGAAAUUUAUUUGGCUCUUAAUGCACCUAAAUGAAGGAAUUGUCACUUUGUUUCUCAGAGGGCUUGUACGCCUGAGAUUAUUUUAAUAACCCAUAGUUCUAUUAACAUUUUGACAUGAUCACAAACGGGGAGAAACAGCAAUAGCUAAAGCCUGCUCAUUGGUCAAGAUGACUUCUGAAGAAAUGGCAGCUUCUGUUCUCAGACCUGUGACUCAGCGAAAAGUGAUAUCUGCUCAGUCGGCUGUAGAUGAAAGUAAUGAUAAGGUCUCGGACAUCAGUGUUGCAAAGGCUCAUCCUGUCAGGCAGAGCAGGGAGACCUCUCAUACCAUCUCACAACUGACCAAACUUACAGAAGAAUCUUCUGGAAGCAACUUGCCCCAGAUUCUCUCAGUAGCAAGUGAGAAAAUAAUGAGUGAUGAGAACAGUAAUGAAAAGUGCUGGGAGAAAAGCAUACCAGACUCUGUGAAAAACCUUAACAUUAACUGCAACAACAUACUGAAAAACCAUCAGUGUGGCCUUCCUCAGAGCCAGUUUUAUGAAACGUGUGAUUCUACCACAGAGGAAGGCCUGUGUUUGGAAACUGGAAUCCCUUCUUCACUGGAAAGAAAGGUGUUCCCUGGAAUUCAACUGGAAAUAGAUGGACCUCCCGCGGGCAUUAGUCCACUAGGAACUCAAUCAGCCAUCAUAGAGACGGGCAGGGCACACCCUGACAGCAACAUGGCGGUAUUUCACUUUCAGUAUGAAGUUGACAGAAGAAUGUCAGACACUUUCUGUCCCCUAUCAGAUAACUUGAUUUUGGAUGAUUGUGGAAACUGUGUACUACCUGCUGUUGGUGGGGAACAAAAGAACAAUUACAUGGCGUAUACUUGUAAACUGAUGGAAUUGGCAAGUAACUGUGACAAUAAGAAUAGGCAGCUGCAGUAUGAUCAUUGUGACCCCUUGAAUGACAAAUACUUGUGCUUUGAAGGCUCUUGCCCGAAGACCAAUGUAGUAUGUUCAAGUGACAGCUUUUGCGGGGAGGAUUUUACCGACAGUCCACCUGCCAAGACCUUUCUGAGCCAUUUUGAGGACUUCCCUGAUAAUUGUGAAGAUGUAGAAGAAGAUUUAUUCAAAAGCAAGAAGGAGCGGUCCACUUGGUUAGUGAGGAGAUUUUGUAAAAAUGACAGGGAAGUAAAGAAAUCUGUAUAUACUGGGACAAGGGCAAUUGUGAGAACUCUGCCUUCUGGUCACAUUGGGCUGGGGGCUUGGAGUUACGUUGAUCGGAAGAGAAACGGUCUCUUACUGCCUUGUGGGAGAGUCAUGGAACAGCUGUCAACAGUGCUGACUAGGCAAGAUGGGGGCCAGCGUCUGUCAGAAGCCCAGUGGUAUCCGAUCUACAGUGCAGUGAGAAGGGGAGAAGAAACAGAAGAGACAAUUAGAUCUCUUCUCCAUUUCUUCACAAAGCUUCCAGCCUCCGAGACAGCCCAUGAAAGGAUUAGCAUUGGUCCGUGCUUAAAGCAAUGUGUCCAAGACACUGUUUGUGAGUAUCGUGCCACCCUCCAAAGGACUUCCAUAUCUCAGUACAUCACCGGCUCUCUCCUAGAAGCCACCACAUCUUUAGGAGCAAGAAGUAGCCUUCUCAGUUCUUUUGGAGGAUCCACCGGACGAAUGAUGCUGAAAGAACGCCAACCAGGCACCUCUAUGGCCAAUUCCAGUGCCCUCCCUUCAAGUUCAGCUGGGAUCAGCAAGGAACUGGUUGAUCUGCAGCCCCUCAUCCAGUUCCCAGAGGAAGUUGCCAGUGUCCUGAUGGAACAGGAGCAGAAUAUUUACCGAAGGGUCCUGCCGGUUGACUAUCUUUGCUUCUUGACCCGGGACUUGGGCACUACGGAAUGCCAGAGGCCCCUGCCCUGCCUCAAAGCGUCCAUCUCAGCAUCCAUUCUUACCUCCCAGAACGGAGAGCAUAAUGCCCUUGAAGAUCUCGUGAUGAGAUUUAAUGAGGUGAGCUCCUGGGUGACGUGGCUGAUCCUCACGGCAGGCUCCAUGGAGGAGAAGCGGGAAGUCUUCUCGUAUUUGGUGCACGUGGCCAAAUGCUGCUGGAACAUGGGCAACUACAAUGCCGUCAUGGAGUUCUUGGCCGGCCUCAGGUCAAGAAAAGUCUUAAAAAUGUGGCAGUUUAUGGACCAGUCUGACCUGGAGACGAUGAGGGGCCUGAAGGACGCCAUGGCCCAGCAUGAAUCUUCCUGCGAGUACAGGAAGGUGGUGACUCGGGCGCUGCACAUCCCCGGCUGUAAGGUGGUUCCGUUCUGCGGGGUGUUUCUGAAGGAGCUCUGUGAGGUGCUUGACGGAGCCUCCGGCCUCAUGAAGCUUUGCCCGAGGUACAAUUCCCAAGAAGAAACUCUAGAGUUUGUAGCUGAUUAUAGUGGACAAGAUAAUUUCUUACAACGAGUGGGACAGAAUGGCUUAAAGAAUUCAGAGAAGGAGUCCACUGUCAACAGCAUCUUUCAGAUCAUCAGGAGCUGCAGUCGAAGUCUGGAGACAGAGGAGGAGGACAGCCCCAGUGAAGGGAACAGCUCUAGGAAAAAUUCCUUGAAGGAUAAAGCCCGACUGCAGUUCAUAAUUGGAGAUCUGUUGGAUUCUGAAAAUGACAUCUUUGAGCAGCCCCAAGAAUGGGACCCUCACGGAUCAGAAGAGCCACAGAAGGCCUUUGACCAUGGGACAGAGCUCAUCCCGUGGUACGUGCUGUCCAUCCAAGCUGAUGUACACCAGUUCCUGCUUCAGGGGGCCACGGUCAUCCACUAUGACCAGGACAUGCACCUCUCUGCCCGCUGCUUCCUCCAGCUUCAGCCUGACAAUAGUACCUUGACCUGGAUAAAGCCCACCACUGCUUCCCCAGCCAGUGCUAAAGCAAAACUUGGUGUGCUUAGUAACACAUCCGAGCCUGGCAAAUUCCCAUUACUGGGCAAUGCUGGAUUAAGUGGCCUGGCAGAGGGGGUCUUGGAUCUGUUUUCAGCAAAGGCUGUGUACAUGGGACACCCUAGCAUUGAUUUACACACUGUGUGUGUCCAGAACAAACUGAGUAACAUGUCUCUCUCAGAGACUGGUGUGACACUGCUCUACGGGCUUCAGACCACGGACAAUAGAUUAUUGCACUUUGUGGCACCAAAGCACACAGCUAAAAUGCUCUUCAGUGGAUUGUUGGAACUCACUAGAGCUGUGAGAAAGAUGAGGAAGUUCCCUGACCAAAGACAGCAGUGGCUGCGGAAACAAUACGUCAGCCUCUACCAGGAGGAUGGACGAUAUGAAGGCCCAACUUUGGCUCACGCUGUGGAGUUGUUUGGCGGCAGACGAUGGAGUACUCGAAACCCCAGUCCCGGGAUAUCAGCAAAGAGUGCUGAGAAGCCCAACAUGCAGAGAAACAACACGUUGGGUAUAAGCACCACCAAGAAAAAGAAGAAAAUCCUCAUGAGGGGUGAGAGUGGAGAGGCCACCGAUGACGAGAUGGCCACCCGCAAAGCCAAAACGAACAAAGAGUGUCGGAGUCGGAGUGGUUCUGAUCCUCAAGACGUUAAUGAACAAGAAGAAUCAGAGGCGAACGCCAUCACGAGCCCUCCUAACCCUCUCCCUUCCAGAAGAGCCCACUCUUUGACCACGGCUGGGUCCCCUAACUUGGCUGCCGGGACGUCAUCUCCCAUCAGGCCAGUGUCCUCCCCUGUGCUGUCUUCUUCAAACAAGAGCCCGUCCAGUGCUUGGAGCAGCAGCUGGCAUGGGCGGAUCAAAGGAGGAAUGAAGGGCUUUCAGAGCUUCAUGGUUUCAGACAGCAGCAUGAGUUUUGUGGAGUUUGUUGAGCUGUUCAAAUCAUUCAGUGUGAGGAGCCGCAAGGACCUGAAGGAUCUCUUUGACAUCUAUGCCGUACCCUGCGACCGAGCCGGCUCCGCGGCAGCGCCUCUCUACACCAACCUGACCAUUGACGAAAACACCAGUGGUCUUCAGCCUGACCUAGAUUUGUUGACCAGAAAUGUCUCCGAUUUGGGGUUAUUCAUUAAGAGUAAACAGCAGCUGUCCGACAACCAGAGGCAGAUAUCUGAUGCCAUUGCUGCUGCAAGUAUCGUGACAAAUGGCACUGGGGUGGAGAGCACAUCCCUGGGCGUAUUUGGAGUUGGCAUCCUCCAGCUCAAUGACUUCCUAGUGAAUUGCCAAGGAGAACACUACACUUACGAUGAAAUCCUCAGCAUCAUCCAGAAGUUCGAGCCUAGUGUUAGUAUGUGUCAUCAGGGCCUAAUGUCGUUUGAAGGAUUUGCAAGGUUUCUGAUGGAUAAAGAUAAUUUUGCCUCGAAAAAUGAUGAGUCCCAGGAGAACAUUAAAGAAUUGCAAUUGCCCCUCUCCUACUAUUACAUUGAAUCUUCACACAAUACCUACCUCACAGGCCAUCAACUCAAAGGAGAAUCCUCAGUGGAACUCUACAGCCAGGUCCUCCUGCAAGGCUGUAGGAGUGUAGAGUUGGACUGCUGGGACGGAGAUGAUGGGAUGCCCAUCAUUUAUCAUGGACACACCCUGACAACCAAGAUCCCCUUCAAGGAAGUGGUUGAAGCCAUCGAUCGCAGUGCCUUUAUCAACUCCGACCUCCCCAUCAUCAUAUCUAUUGAGAACCACUGUUCAUUGCCUCAGCAACGAAAAAUGGCAGAAAUUUUCAAGACUGUGUUUGGAGAAAAACUGGUGGCUAAAUUCUUAUUUGAGAGUGAUUUCUCAGAUGAUCCAAUGCUUCCCUCACCUGACCAACUCAGGAGGAAAGUGCUUCUCAAAAAUAAGAAGUUAAAAGCCCAUCAGACACCGGUGGAUAUAUUAAAGCAAAAGGCUCAUCAGCUGGCAUCCAUGCAAGCUCAGGCUUAUAAUGGUGGCAGUGCCAACCCUCCACCUGCUAAUAACGAAGAAGAGGAAGAUGAAGAGGACGAAGAUGAUUAUGACUAUGAAUCCCUCUCUGACGCAGAUGUCCUUACUGCUUCUCCUGUUCUUAACAGUCAGGAAGACAACAUUCUAGAAGACAGACCUGAAAAUAAAUCAUGUAAUGACAAACUUCAGUUUGAGUAUAAUGAAGAAAUCCCCAAGAGGAUAAAGAAAGCAGAUAACUCUGCUUGCAACAAAGGAAAGGUUUAUGACAUGGAACUGGGAGAAGAAUUUUAUCUUCCUCAGAAUAAAAAGGAAAGCAGACAGAUUGCACCAGAGCUUUCUGACCUUGUCAUCUAUUGCCAAGCAGUAAAGUUUCCAGGCCUGUCAACUCUAAAUGCAUCUGGCUCUAGCAGAGGAAAAGAAAGGAAAAGCAGGAAGUCCAUUUUUGGCAACAAUCCGGGCAGAAUGAGCCCCGGGGAGACAGCAUCAUUUAACAAAACAUCUGGAAAAAGUUCCUGUGAAGGAAUGCGACAGGCCUGGGAGGACUCGCCUUCCUCUGUCAACCCAGCCACGUCCCUCAGCGCUAUCAUUAGAACUCCCAAAUGCUACCACAUCUCCUCGCUGAAUGAAAAUGCCGCCAAACGUCUGUGUCGCAGGUAUUCUCAGAAACUGAUCCAGCACACUGCCUGCCAGCUGCUGAGGACGUAUCCGGCUGCCACCCGCAUCGACUCAUCCAACCCCAGCCCCCUCCUCUUCUGGCUCCAUGGGAUACAGCUCGUGGCGCUCAACUACCAGACAGAUGAUCUCCCUUUACAUUUAAAUGCUGCCAUGUUUGAGGCCAACGGUGGCUGUGGUUAUGUUCUGAAACCCCCAGUUCUGUGGGACAAGAACUGUCCCAUGUAUCAGAAGUUUUCUCCCUUGGAAAGAGACCUGGACAACAUGGAGCCUGCCGUCUAUUCUUUAACUAUUGUCUCUGGGCAGAACGUGUGCCCGAGUAACAGCACGGGAAGCCCGUGUAUAGAGGUCGACGUCCUGGGCAUGGCCCUGGAUAGCUGCCACUUCCGCACGAAGCCCAUCCACCGCAAUACUCUGAACCCCAUGUGGAAUGAACAGUUCCUCUUCCGGGUUCACUUUGAAGAUCUCCUAUUUCUUCGAUUUGCCGUUGUGGAGAACAACAGCUCGGUGGUAACUGCUCAGAGAAUCAUCCCCCUCAAGGCUCUAAAGCGAGGAUAUCGACAUCUUCAGCUGCGAAACCUCCACAAUGAAGUCUUGGAAAUCUCUAGUUUAUUCAUAAACAGCAGGAGGAUGGAAGAAAAUUCCUCUGGCAAUACUAUGCCGGCCUCUUUGAUGUUUAAUACAGAAGAAAGAAAAUGUUUGCAGAUUCACAGAGUCACAGUACAUGGGGUCCCAGGUCCAGAGCCCUUUGCUGUUUUCUCCAUAAAUGGAGGCACCAAGGCAAAGCAGCUUCUCCAACAAAGUCUGACCAUUGAUCAAGACACCAAACCUAUUGCCACAGACUAUUUUUUAAUGGAAGAAAAAUAUUUUAUAUCUAAAGAAAAGAAUGAAUGUAGGAAACAACCAUUCCAGAGAGCCAUUGGUCCAGAAGAAGAGAUCAUGCAGAUUUUAAGCAGCUGGUUUCCAGAAGAGGGAUAUGUUGGCAGGAUUGUCUUAAAAACCCAGCAGGAAAACCUGGAAGAGAAGAGCAUCGUUCAAGAUGACAAGGAGAUGAUCUUGAGCUCAGAGGAGGAGAGUUUCUUUGUCCAAGUGCAUGACGUUUCUCCAGAGCAACCGCGAACGGUCAUCAAGGCGCCCCGCGUCAGCACCGCGCAGGACGUCAUUCAGCAGACCUUAUGCAAAGCCAAAUAUUCCUAUAGCAUCUUGAGCAACCCGAACCCGGGUGAUUAUGUGCUUUUGGAAGAGGUGGUGAAAGACACUGCCAACAGGAAGUCUUCUACCCCAAAGUCCUCCCAGCGUGUCCUUUUGGAUCAGGAGUGUGUUUUCCAAGCUCAAAGCAGGUGGAAAGGUGCAGGAAAAUUUAUCCUUAAGCUAAAGGAACAAGUGCAGGCAUCCCGAGAAGACAAAAGAAAAGGCAUCUCUUUUGCAAGCGAACUCAAGAAGCUCACCAAGUCGACUAAACAGCCCCGAGGACUCACAUCACCUUCUCAGGUCUUGGCCUCAGAAAAUGUCCAAAACAAGGAGGAGAAACCUGUGGGCGGCUUGUCCUCCAGUGACACGAUAGACUAUCGACAGUGAGCAGGGGUAGCACGUUUUACCCAGGUAUUCUGAGUCACUGCACUGUUCUGAAACCGGGGGUCAACUUACACUGCUUUGUAAGACACAGUCUGUACACUGUCGUUUGUCUUUUCCAAGAGGAGAAUGUCCCCGAGGCAGGUAGGAAUGGUACCCUACAGGAAAAGGGCUCUGAAGAUACACAUCACUUCAGCACUGAUAAUUUUAGAUCUCCUUAUUUUGUAGAUAACUAAAGGCCCCAAGAGGACAACAAACUUGCCCAAACUACAACAGCCUUAUUUCAUCAGACACAGAACUGUCUUAAUUACUGGUGAAGAUCUUUGGGCAAGAAGUUAUAAAGUCAAGAAUGAACAUGAUGGAAACAAAUAUAACUUCCUUAUUUUCAUUAGACUUAAACUGGAAAUUGCUGAUUUCUGAACUUGCGAUAUGAGGUCCACACUGAGGUCAAGCAAAAUGGCACAGGGCUAGCUACCAACCAGUUUCCUGAUGAAGCAAAGAAGCCCAGCAGACUGCCAUUUUACAUGUGUCAACAGUUGGAAAAACCAUUGCUAACCUUGCAAUAGUUGACUUAGAACAAGGGUCAACAAACUUUGUAAAGGGCUAGACAGUAAAUAUUUUAGGCCUUAUGGGCCAUAUGGUCUCCACUGCAAUGACUCAACUCAGCUGUAGUACAAAAGCAGCCAUAGACAAUAUAUACGUGAAUGAAUGUGGCUGUGAUCCAAGAAAACUACAUAAAGACACUGAAAUUGUAAUUUCAUAUAAUUUUCCCAUGUAAUAAAUAUUCCUCUUUUGGUGUUUAAAAAUCAUUAAAAAAUGUAAAAACUAUUCUUAGUUCAAGAGCCAUACGAAACCAGGUGGCAGGCUGGAUUUGGCCCAAGGGCCAUAGUUUGCUGACCUGACUUAGAAAACUGGGAACAAGAUGCAGAAGUAUGAAAACAAGCAGGCUAGUUUAGUCAUACAUUUUAUGGCUGAGAAUUGGAAGAUUUUGGGCAUUGCAAGUGUAAAUAUGUCCUAUGAGAUUCAUUUAAAAGUAAUUCAACUUAGUUUCUAUAUUGUGUACCAUUGUGAAUUCUGUAGUAUUUCUUUUUAGCUACAGAAUGAUGUUGGGUUUUUUUACGUUUAUUGCUUAUACAUUCACAGACUUUUGUUUUCCAUAAAAUGAAUUUAGAAUAACGUAUAAUAUCUACUGAGUUGUGACAUCUUAACAAGAAACUUAACCAUGUUUUUAAAGCAAAAGUAGAUUGUUGGUGUUUAUUUAUUUUACUAGGUUUGUACUGACAUUGUACCUAUAUAUUUAUUAUACAUAGCUUUCUUGAUAUUGCUUGCAGAUUAGAAGCGUUAGUGGUUCUAGCUCACUAUUUGAAGACAAAUCUCCUAAAAAGAAAAAAUGUAUGCUCUGAAUAUCUGAAAUAGGCCAGAAUUUCAUGUAACUUGCCAUUUAAUGUAAAUUAUUUUAAAAAACCUUGCUGUAUAAAACUAUCAUGUACGUGUAAAGGAUUCUUCUUAUUCUUGGCAUGAAACAAAUUAUGAUUUUUAAAAUGAAAGGUGUUCCUCUAAGUAAAAUCCAAAUUUUAUCUUUCUAUUGACAUUAAAAUUUUUUUUUUUUUUUUUUUUUUUUGUGGUAUGCGGGCCUCUCACUGUUGUGGCCUCUCCCGUUGCGGAGCACAGGCUCCGGACGCGCAGGCUCAGCGGCCGUGGCUCACGGGUCCGGCCGCUCCGCGGCAUGUGGGAUCCUCCCGGACCGGGGCACGAACCCGUGUGCCCUGCAUCGGCAGGCGGACUCUCAACCACUGCGCCACCAGGGAAGCCCUGACAUUAAAAUUUAAGAUGUUUUUCUUCAAAUUAUAAAACACACUAAAAAUCCUAACUUUUGCUUUGAGAAGUUUUUCACCAUAAAAAAUGAAUAAAACAACCCCCAAGUUCUUUGCAUACGCUAACAGAAGUGUUAAAAACACACAGCCCAGCUUUCGUGUUAUUGGAAGUUCUGAGUCAAAGCUUUAAUGCUAGAAGAGCCACGUUUGCUUGUCCACAGAAUUCAGGCUAUUCCAGUUUGAUGUCGUUUGUACAGUGCUGCAGGUUUCUUUUUAAAUCAAAUAAUCAGUCUACAACAAAUGUACAAUGCUGCCUCAUUUUUAAAAAUAUUCCAGAAACCGUAAUCAGGUUUCUCUAAACUAAGAGGCAUUUUUUUCCUCUGGUUGGGCUUUACUGUGUCAUAAAAAUUGGGUUACUGGUCUAACUGGCAAGAGUCAAGAUGAAAACUGUGCAGAGUUACGAGAUGGAAAGCAAGAUUGGUCUCACUAGGUUUAUCACUUGGCCUUGACUCUAAGCCCUGCAGCACCCCACCCCAUGGCCCUUAGCACAAAAUCUGAAACUUACCUUGAGACUGAAAGGGAGACUAGGUUUUAGCAAGUGAGUGAACCCAACCUCCGGCCUAUGUUGCAGCCCAGCUUGGUGGUUCAUUUUGAGGUGAAAGGACAUACUCUACUGUAUUUGAGUCUUGGGGGCUUUACGGGGGACUACUCUACUAUUACAGCUAACCAGCACAACCUGGUGUUUGCCAAAAGUAGGAAAUUUUGAUUUAGAUCUUCUCUGAAUUAUACAGUUAUAUUACUAUAGCAAAUGAAAGAAAUUAUCCCAUUUAGAAUGCAUCUAAAAUAGUCACCCACACUAUACCCAUUACUACUUCAUACUUUCCAUACCAUUAAAAAUUUGGGUAGCAAGCUUUCAUCAGUAAAGUCGAUAUGGAAAAGAAUCUAAAUAUAUACAAGCUGGCUGAAACCCCCACCAAGAGGGAGAAAUGAAGGGUAUGGUGCCCACAAGCACGCAAACCCCAGACCGGUCGGAGCCAGAAGGUUGAUGAUGCUGACUCCCACUUACCUCACCACCAACCAAUCAGAAUGUCCAUGCGCUGACGGCGCCCUCUUUGAACCAUUACUAUAAGACUCCUCACUACCCCCUCCAGGUCGGGACACGCAGUUUUGAGGGCAUUAGCCCCCUGUGGCCCCCUUUGCCUGGCAAAGCAAUAAGCUGUUCUUUUCUACUUCACCCAAUAAACGAACAAACAAAAAUGCAAGCUGUAUUUAUUACAAGAUUUUGAAAAAAAACUUUUAAAAUGCUUCACUAAAAACAAAGGAGCAUGAAUUCUGUUAGGUGGUGCCACUUUUAAGAUUAUGAUAGCUGGCAAGAAAAGAUUAGAAUAAGAAUCCGAUGUGAUGUGUGAUGCUGGAAAAAACAGAUUAACUUCCUCUUAAGUCACCUCCUCUGUAAUUGUUUUGCAAACUAAUGUGAGAUUAUAUAAGGGUGUGAAGGAGUUGAGAAUAAGUUUGAGGAUAAAUCUGCAGGAAGUAACAUUAUUUGGGCAGAAAGUGCCUUCUUAAAGGAACGUCUCUUUUCGUGUCAUCCUUACCAAGUAAAAGUUAUUUAUAAAUUCUCCAGCUGGGGAGAAAUAUGGAGUCUAGACUCAGCAAAA